RNAcentral lists this ribosomal RNA (159 nucleotides) under Pleosporaceae sp. KUC21234. RNAcentral describes it as "5.8S ribosomal RNA". The stretch from base 1 to 131 matches the Rfam family "5.8S ribosomal RNA", at positions 25 to 154 of the family's 154-position model. Rfam says of the family: 5.8S ribosomal RNA (5.8S rRNA) is a component of the large subunit of the eukaryotic ribosome. It is transcribed by RNA polymerase I as part of the 45S precursor that also contains 18S and 28S rRNA. Lineage: Eukaryota; Fungi; Ascomycota; Dothideomycetes; Pleosporales; Pleosporaceae. The record is from RNAcentral.
UUCUGGCAUCGAUGAAGAACGCAGCGAAAUGCGAAAAGUAGUGUGAAUUUGCAGAAUUCAGUGAAUCAUCGAAUCUUUGAACGCACAUUGCGCCCCUUGGUAUUCCAUGGGGCAUGCCUGUUCGAGCGUCAUUUGUACUCUCAAGCUUUGCUUGGUGUU